Molecule: long non-coding RNA, 1026 nt
Organism: Cyprinus carpio (common carp)
Lineage: Eukaryota; Metazoa; Chordata; Actinopteri; Cypriniformes; Cyprinidae
Source: Ensembl
AUGGCAAGCCGAGGGGGAGGCGAGGAGGGCGACGCUGAAGCCUCAGCUACAGUCACAUCCCCCCCGGUUGAUUGUUCCCCGUCAUCCAGUGUGGAGGUUCCACUUACUGUACCCUCACAAAUACCAAAUCCUCAAGAGGAAUUUGAAAGAAAUAUGGAGAGGCUCUCCAGUAUAUUGGCAUCAUGUCCUUCUGCUGAGCCUCAAAGAAGCUCUGCAUCAUCAUGGUCUUUUCGGCAGCAGAAAGCCUCAGAGCGCUGGAAAGAGGCAAGACCAUACCACCUACAAUGCCUUGUUGCAAAAGAGGCUGUUGGUCAUCCCUCGAGUUGCCUUUGCCACGAGCCUGCCGUUAUUAGGUGCAGAGAGAGUGUCUUCCCGAGGAGUGGUUCUGUGGGGACUGUGAUGUACUGAAUCACAAAAAACAGCCCCUCCACAACAGGGAAUGUGUGAUUCAUGGGUUUUUUGAAGCCAUUCCUCCAACUUUGUGCAUCAUUAAAAGGGAAGGUGGAUAUUGCAUUCAUGAGCAAGGUACGUUCUCACGGAAGUCCUAAUUUUGCUGUUUACAUGUGUCUGCAGCCAGUUACAGAUGAUCUAAAUUAGAUGUUUUCUUUCUUUUUGCCAGCUUGCAUUUUGCCAACUGUGAAGGUGCCAGACUGCUCCUGUGAAGGGACAAACUUCACUGUGUUACCUGGCAAACCAGUGAUUUUAAUCACCAUCAAUGGGCGUUUUGACUUGAAUCAGCCACUAUAUAAGUGUCAAACAUGCCAGCAGAGCUGGACUCCUGAUUCGAAGGACCUCCUUAGGAGUGGAUAUUGGCCAGCCUAUGUCAGCAAUUCAGUGCUGUAUACACUGGACCUCCUGAACUCCUUUCAGGAACUCAAGGUCAUCGCUCCAGGAUUCUCCAGACAAGCCUUCGCAAAGCUUUGGAGCAUCGCACUGGAGGAAGAGUAUGUGUUAUUGUUAUUACUGUCUUAUAACAUGUUUUUCCAUAAGCAGACAACAUCACAUAUACUGUUUAUUUCUAUGUAG